Molecule: ribosomal RNA, 449 nt
Filed under: uncultured bacterium
Lineage: Bacteria
Description: partial 16S ribosomal RNA
Rfam family: Bacterial small subunit ribosomal RNA
Source: RNAcentral
AGCGAACGCUGGCGGCAGGCCUAACACAUGCAAGUCGAGCGCCGUAGCAAUACGGAGCGGCAGACGGGAGAGUAACACGUGGGAACGUACCCUUUGGUUCGGAACAACCCAGGGAAACUUGGGCUAAUACCGAAUAAGCCCUCACGGGGAAAGAUUUAUCGCCGAAGGAUCGGCCCGCGUCUGAUUAGCUAGUUGGUGGGGUAAUGGCCCACCAAGGCGACGAUCAGUAGCUGGUCUGAGAGGAUGAUCAGCCUCACUGGGACUGAGACACGGCCCAGACUCCUACGGGAGGCAGCCGUGGGGAAUAUUGGACGAUGGGCGCAAGCCUGAUCCAGCCAUGCCGCGUGGGUGAUGAAGGCCCUAGGGUUGUAAAGCCCUUUCGGCGGGGAAGAUAAUGACGGUACCCGCAGAAGAAGCCCCGGCUAACUUCGUGCCAGCAGCCGCAGUAA